AUUGAACGCUGGUGGCAUGCUUAACACAUGCAAGUUGCACGGCAGCAUGAUCUUGCUUGCAAGAUUGAUGGCGAGUAGCGGACGGGUGAGUAAAGCAUAGGGAUCUACCCUAAAGUGGGGGACAACGGAGGGAAACUUUCGCUAAUACCGCAUAAUACCUGUGGUUAAAGUCUGCUUUAGGCAGGCGCUUUAGGAUGAACCUAUGUCAGAUUAGCUAGAUGGUGGGUAAGGCCUACCAUGGCGACGAUCUGUAGCUGUUCUGAGAGGAAGAUCAGCCACACUGGGACUGAGACACGGCCCAGACUCCUACGGGAGGCAGCAGUGGGGAAUAUUGGACAAUGGGGGCAACCCUGAUCCAGCAAUGCCACGUGUGUGAAGAAGGCCUGAGGGUUGUAAAGCACUUUAGUCAGGGAGAAGGUUCAUAUGUUAAUAGCAUAUGGAAUUGACGUUA
This 451-nucleotide ribosomal RNA is filed under the name uncultured bacterium. Its description in RNAcentral is "bacterial SSU rRNA". It matches the Rfam family "Bacterial small subunit ribosomal RNA", at positions 30 to 477 of the family's 1533-position model. The record is from RNAcentral.